This 506-nucleotide ribosomal RNA is filed under the name uncultured bacterium. RNAcentral describes it as "partial 16S ribosomal RNA". It matches the Rfam family "Bacterial small subunit ribosomal RNA", at positions 31 to 523 of the family's 1533-position model. The record is from RNAcentral.
AGAGAACGCUGGCGGUAGGCCUAACACAUGCAAGUCGAACGGCAGCACAGAGGAGCUUGCUCCUUGGGUGGCGAGUGGCGGACGGGUGAGGAAUACAUCGGAAUCUACUCUGUCGUGGGGGAUAACGUAGGGAAACUUACGCUAAUACCGCAUACGACCUACGGGUGAAAGCAGGGGAUCUUCGGACCUUGCGCGAUUGAAUGAGCCGAUGUCGGAUUAGCUAGUUGGCGGGGUAAAGGCCCACCAAGGCGACGAUCCGUAGCUGGUCUGAGAGGAUGAUCAGCCACACUGGAACUGGGACACGGUCCAGACUCCUACGGGAGGCAGCAGUGGGGAAUAUUGGACAAUGGGCGCAAGCCUGAUCCAGCCAUACCGCGUGGGUGAAGAAGGCCUUCGGGUUGUAAAGCCCUUUUGUUGGGAAAGAAAUCCAUCUGGUUAAUACCCGGGUGGGAUGACGGUACCCAAAGAAUAAGCACCGGCUAACUUCGUGCCAGCCACCGCCGUAA